CCCGGGCCUUGUACACACCGCCCGUCACACCAUGGGAGUUGGCUUUACCCGAAGGCGGUGCGCCAACCGUAAGGAGGCAGCCGACCACGGUAAGGUCAGCGACUGGGGUG
This 110-nucleotide ribosomal RNA is filed under the name uncultured bacterium. RNAcentral describes it as "partial 16S ribosomal RNA". It matches the Rfam family "Bacterial small subunit ribosomal RNA", at positions 1373 to 1482 of the family's 1533-position model. The record is from RNAcentral.